UUGCUUUGGCAGCACAUAUACUAAAAUUGGAAUGAUACAGAGAAGAUUAGCAUGGCCCCUGAGCAAAGAUGACAUGCAAAUUUGUGAAGCAUUCCAUAUUUUU
This 103-nucleotide small nuclear RNA is filed under the name Chinchilla lanigera (long-tailed chinchilla). The record is from RNAcentral. Lineage: Eukaryota; Metazoa; Chordata; Mammalia; Rodentia; Chinchillidae.